Mucilaginibacter lappiensis is the source of this 36-nucleotide non-coding RNA. NCBI's taxonomy places the organism in Bacteria, Pseudomonadati, Bacteroidota, Sphingobacteriia, Sphingobacteriales, Sphingobacteriaceae. The record is from Rfam.
AGGGCGUAUCCUGAAAAGCCUCAAAUAGAGUAAGGA